AUGUUCUGGUUUCUUGUCAGAACGAAUCAAUCUUUCACCUUUUACUAAAGAUUCCUGUGGAGAGGGACAGUUGUGAGUUCACAACCAAACUUUUUAAGGCCUUGUUUAGGCAGGGCU
Molecule: small nuclear RNA, 117 nt
Organism: Nomascus leucogenys (northern white-cheeked gibbon)
Lineage: Eukaryota; Metazoa; Chordata; Mammalia; Primates; Hylobatidae
Gene: U5
Rfam family: U5 spliceosomal RNA
About the family: U5 RNA is a component of both types of known spliceosome. The precise function of this molecule is unknown, though it is known that the 5' loop is required for splice site selection and p220 binding, and that both the 3' stem-loop and the Sm site are important for Sm protein binding and cap methylation.
Source: Ensembl